Molecule: ribosomal RNA, 253 nt
Filed under: uncultured bacterium
Lineage: Bacteria
Description: partial 16S ribosomal RNA
Rfam family: Bacterial small subunit ribosomal RNA
Source: RNAcentral
GACGUAGGGCGCGAGCGUUGUCCGGAUUUAUUGGGCGUAAAGAGCUCGUAGGCGGCUUGUCGCGUCGACUGUGAAAACCCGGGGCUCAACCCCGGGCCUGCAGCCGAUACGGGCAGACUAGAGUUCGGCAGGGGAGACUGGAAUUCCUGGUGUAGCGGUGAAAUGCGCAGAUAUCAGGAGGAACACCGGUGGCGAAGGCGGGUCUCUGGGCCGAUACUGACGCUGAGGAGCGAAAGCGUGGGGAGCGAACGGG